GUCAGCCCGAAGCCACCCGAGGCCAACACUGUCAGGAGAAUCUGCCUGAGAAUGAAGGCAGCUGAGCAGAAAACACAGCUGAGAAGGGCAGACAGACAAAAGGAUCUUGAAGACGUGGCUUAUCCACCUGGAUCCAGCCAUGCCUGAAGCUGCACCACAGGAUUUCCAGUUAUGUGCCGAGUCUUGUGCUGAAUGCUGGGGGAGAGAUAUUUAAGACACAGCGCCUGGCUUUGGGGAGUUCACAGCUUGUAGAGAAGGUCCUGAUGGGAAUACAGAGAACUAUGUCUGCCCUGGCCUGGGGCAGAGCUCUGACAGGUAGUGACCUGUGGCCAGACCCGAGAUUGUAAGUCAGUGAAUCCCCUUCUCCUGCCCAGGGACCAGCAACCCCCGCCCAACCCCAUGGGGCUGACUUUUCCUACUGUACCCAGCCCACCCAGCCCCCAAGUGAAAGGCUGUUGAUUUAAGGAACCCCGAGAGAAAACACAAGGUGUGGCCUCCUGCUGGCCAGUCACCUGGGUCCUUGUCUACCUGAAGAUUCUCUUCAAAGGCAGCGGGGUCUCUUGCAAGAUCAAGACUUAGAUCCAAAGCCAGACACGGACCGGGGGGCGGCCACCUCGGAGCCUGGACCUAAGGCGUGGUGGCCGGAGAGAAGGGCCCUCCAGGUGAGGAGGGUGAGGGUGGGAGCCUGCUGGCCCAGCACGCCCAGGCUCCGGGGGUCCUGGAGCCCCAGAGGUCAUAGACGGUAUUGGGGGCACAUGCGUCAUUGAGCCUCCACAGGGAAAAACUAACUCCUGUGUUGGGGGACCCUUCACUCCACAAGGGGGAGCUCCGCUGGGCCAGGACACGGCUCAGAGCCACCGCGUCGUUUGUCUCAGGGGGCUCAGCCACCUCGCCAGGAACUGCACCAGAAAUCAGCGGCCCCUGGCAUCCGAGGAGCAGUGGGAGAAUCAGAUGGGGGACCCUAGUGGCAGCCCUUCCCAGUCCCGAGGGGUCUAGCUUCAGCUGGACGCCACCUGGACCCCCAGGCUGGGUGGGGUCCUGCUCUUUGCUCUCACCUGCCAGCCUGGCGGGGAGCAUGCCCGUGUGGGUCUGUGGGUGGCGGGUUGGCACCAGUGCACAGCCUGGGCUCACGAUGACGUCACGCUCAGCCACCUCCCUCCCCUGGCACACCUGCUCCUUGGGCAGGUUCCCAGUGUCACCUGACGCCAGCUCCCUCGUCCCAGGUGCCCAGGACAAAAGUCCAGGGUCUGCCUGGCCUCCCAGCUUCCUCUACCACACCCCAGCUCCCCCUGGGCAGCCCUGGCCACGGCCUUCCCCCUACCUGUUGCCAAGUCGCAGCCCUGGCUGAAGACCCUCAGCUCCCUGCGGUGACCCCUCUCCCUGUUCCUCACCCAGGGCCAGAGAGGUUCCCCGCCUGCUUGAGACCACCGGAGACUCCCCGGCUGCUCAGAAGUCAAAAGCCAAAGCCCUGUUGUUGUGACAAGCCCACCAUGCUCCCUCCUCUCCUCCCCGCCACAUGGGCCUCGCUGCCUCAUUAGACCCUUGCACACCCCAGGACUCUUGCACCUGCUCCUCCAGAGGCCAAAGCCUUCACCACCCCUGACCAGGUGGCUCCUCCUUCACCCACUCCAGGUCCUUGUUCAAAGGUCACCUUCUCCUGAGGUUUCCCGUGACCAUCCCGUCCCUUCCAGGCUUCGCUUUUCUUGUGGUUCUUAUUCAGAUCAAGCGUCUCCUUGGUAUCUCGAUCCCCCCUAGCUGUAAGGGCCCCCAGAGGGGCUGCCUGUCUUCCCCCUGCUGCUGAACCCCCCGCACCUGGAACCGUCCCUGGAACACGGCGGAGUCGUAAUGUUGGUUGGGUGGAUGGCCACAUGGACAUGUUCUGUUACCC
This 1888-nucleotide long non-coding RNA is filed under the name Marmota monax (woodchuck). Lineage: Eukaryota; Metazoa; Chordata; Mammalia; Rodentia; Sciuridae. The record is from RNAcentral.